GAAUGCAGAGCACGGAUUAACCCCUCCUGGAGCUGUUCUACUGCCCCCAUAUCAACGAUGCCAGAAAGGUCUAAGGAGACAAGAAGAGAGGAGACCAGCACCACGGCCAUGAACAGAGCCAUCUCAUCAGGCUCCAGCCUCAGAGUUCCCAGCUUCUCACUGAAGUCAAAGAUGGCGUCGAGCAGCGCCCCCAUCCCCAGCGCCCGCAGGGUGGACAGAGGGUACGUCUGGCCAUUCAGGAAGGUCACCGUCCGCUCCUCAGGGUUAAACAUUGUACAGAACCUCACCAUCAACACCUGACCGAGACAGAAGACCCAGUGGAAGGUUAGUCAAUAUGGAUCGGGAUUACAUUUAUUGGGAGAGAGAAUUAAGGUGUUUUGUCCUUUUAUAUUUGUAAACACAGCUGAAAUAAUCUGAUUUAGGGCCAGUUUCCUGGGUACAGAUGAACCCCAGUCCUGGACAAAAAUAGACUACUUAAAAAACAAGCGUUAUUACCUGGAAGGUGCCUGAUUUGAGCAGCAUGACCUGGUCGUGCUGGCUGAGCUCCUGGAAGCCAGGGAUACCCUUAGCGAACUCCACCACUUCCCUCACUGCCGGGGUGAAACACUGGGAGAAAGACUCCCAUAUCUGCUGUCCAGAACGACUGGCCGCAGAUACAGGACACGCAUUGAGAGGACAGGCCUGAGGGAUAGAGAGAGAAAGUUCGAUUCAAAUCCAUACUAUACUGUUUUUAUAAACGUCACAUAUGUAAAGCUUCAUAACUUUUUAACGACUCUUGGUUUACUCACCAGCACUUUGGUUCCAGCAGCUAAUUUCCACGGACAGGAUGUCUGAGUUUGGGGCUCUUGGGUCUCUUCCUUCAUGGAAAAACUGUUGUGAUUGGCCGAGCUGCCUCGUUGAGGUGUGCCCACAUUAGACUGUCCGUGGUCAUGAUUGGACAAAGUAGCGGGGCAACUAUAGCCUCUUUUGUCCACAGAGGGGAACGUAUGGUGGUUGUCAUUAGUGUCUGGGCAGUGAGGGGCAAGGCCUGCAGGACAGGACUGGUACCCCUGGGUGGAGUCAGACCCGAGGUGGGAGGAGCCAUUGGUGUAGCUGGUCUCCUGAGAUGUGUUGCUCUUGAACAGAGAUGUUGUUGGUAAGUUGGUGAUGUUGAGUUCCCUCUUGGCUGCCCUGUCUUGGCUGCUGGAAGAGAUGUCCUGAUAGGCCCGUGAGAUGGCUCUGAUGGCCUCUUUGGAAGGAACCUCUGCUGGGCUGGGAGGGGAUUCGGAGAUGGGGGAGGACUCUAUGUCCAUGGUGUUAGACUCGUUCAGGCUGUUCAUGUAGCUUUGCAUCUCAUCCAGAAGCCUCUGCUUCUCCCUCUUAGGGAUACGGCCAAAACGCACAGCUGAUGAAGACACAAACAGAGGGGACAGGUCAACUUCUGGCCAUAGUUCUCUUAUAGAUAUUAAGUCUUAAGGUCCGGUCUACACAGAAACAAACAUAUACUGUUCAUACAUUCGCCUUCGUAACAAAAAUGCAUUAAUUGCAUCUUGUGUAUUUCAUGCAUGAACGUGUAAGCAGUCUUUUCUGGGUCCCAUCCCUCCUACUCUCCAUCCCCCUCUCCAACAAUAUCCAUCAGCUGAAAAUGUUAUUUAUAGACCCCCUAUCCAUCUCUCUCUCUCCUCUCCUUCCCUCCCUCUCUACUUUGUAAGUAGGGCAGUGGCUCAUCGUGAACGUGAUGUCACUGCUACUGCGACGGAGGGAGAGAAAUAGAGGUGGGCUAGCACGCAAGGGGGAGGAAAGAGGAUGUAGAGAAGGAAGGAGGGAGGGAGGGAGUGAGGGAGGAGAGGUUGCAGAGAAGGAGGGUGUUAGUGAGAGUGAAGAGUAGUGUUGAAAAUAGGAGCUUGCAGAGAGAAAGUAGUGAGUGAAACACCAAAGUGGAGUGUGACAGAGAGACUGAAGAGAAACUUCAAAUGGCAGUCUUGUUGCUGAGAGUUCUUCAACCAAGCCAGCACAAUGCAUGAGGCAAGAUGUAAAUGAUCUAUAAUUCAUAGAAACAAACUAACUUAAAGUGUUUGAGAUCAAAACAAGAUACUGGACUAAGCUAUGACAUCGGGGAGAAAUAUUUGUGUUCUGCUUCAGUUAAAUGUAUGACUGUGAACAUCUGUGUUAACACAUCUCUGGCAUCAUAACAUGAUCUCUUGGGUCUCUCUCUCUGCAGUGUGCAAUGCACUGUCCCUAAAGAGCAUAGGAUCUAGAUCAUGCUAAAAAGGGCUGUAACAGUGACAUUCUGUUACAGCAGAGCUAUGGAAUUCUGCGAUAUUCAUUCCCAUCAAUCCACUUUGUUAUGUGUGCAUGGAUAGUCUGUCUAAACUUUAGCUAGUCAUUACAGUUGUGAGAAUGGGCUUUAAUGCACUGCGUUUAGGAUGAAAGUGUUGGCUGUGUCUUUAAGAAGAUGAACUGGUUUCAGGGAGGGCAAGUGACUUCAAUAUGUCCCUUGUCUAUAUGGUAAUCCCAAGAUACACCAAUCACAGGCUCCUGAGAAAUCAGGAAGUCUUCUGCCAUGUGGACUGCAGGCAGUUGACUGAGGUUUUUCUGUUUUCACAACAGCUGAAGUCGAAGGAAAGAGGUUUCUAGGUUGUGGUUCUUGACACUUUCGAGAUCGUGUUUUUAACAGGGUCAAUAUGAGUGUUUUUCCUUGCAUCAAAACAUCUUCACUAGCCUCGUUUCUCGUACCCCACCUUUUGAGCGCCCAAACUGUCGACUGCAUGCAGAAAUCACACUUGGUUCUCUUGUAGAUUAGGCAAUAGAUUAAGCACGAGAGAGAACACAGGAGGGUUGAAGCCACACUGAGAAGACACUGAAGGCAGGCAAACUAUCCCAACUAGGUCACCAUGUACCAGCGUGCUAUAGGUAAAAUGCUUGCUUUGCUUUUUUAGGUCAACUGAAACCAUCCCACACUAUUUUCGUAAUCCGUUAUGAUGGGGCAAUUUAUCAAUACUUAGCUAUCAAGGCUAAAAGUAAAGUAGGUGAGAUUAGCUUUGCAUACGGCUGAUUAAUUGUGUGACAAGGACGGGCUGUUUUGUUCUGCAUCUCGAGCAUAAUUGUUUGCCAUCUCCCUCAUUAAUUGUACAAAAUGUUAUAAGGGUAAACAGUAUACAAAGUAAUCAAGUUGCCCCUGUUCCAAUUCCCCAAAAUAAUUCCUGUGUUUGCUGCAGUUUUCUGUAUGACAGAUAGCUUCAGGGACUUCAAGGCUCCCGUUCUCAUAAAUCACUGUCGGAGAGGAGAGAAGAGUGGGAUAGAGGGAGAGCUCAGGGAACAUGGAGGGGAGGAACAUGGAGAGGGGAGGAAUCUGAACAAGAGGAAGAAAGACUGACUUUGAAACUUAUGAAUGUGCAAGAGCCUGUGUGGAUAUAGGUUUUUUUCCAAUGUGUGCCCUUCAAUAGUAGGUCAGUGCAAUGUCUCAGGUGAAAGAUAAGGCUGGUGCGGUGCUGAGAAACUCGCAUUGUAUGGCCUCAAAUGAUUGUCUGAGCCUGCACUCUCAGUAAGAUUUCACUAGAACUCUUACCAUCUCUGGACAUGCCCACGGAGAGGCAUUUCUUGAAGCGACAGUGUUGGCAGCGGUUGCGGUUCAUUCUCAUAAUGAGGCAGUUCUCGUUCUUCACACACAUCUUGUAGUUGAUGUUUUGCUGAAUGCUGCGACGGAAGAAGCCCUAGAUAGGAAAUUCAAGCAGAUGUACAGUUAGUUAGCAUCCUGGUUGGUUUUAAAUGCUGAACGGGAAUGUGACCCACCACCUUAUUGUACACAGUAAGAGUGCAUCUGAAAUGGUCAAAAGAAGUGUGCUAUAUAGGGAAUAGAGAGCCAUUUCAGGGGCACUUACUGUAUGUGUUUAGUCAUCGUGGUCUUCUUACCUUGCAACCCUCACAGGCGUGCACUCCGUAGUGGAACCCAGAUGCAAUGUCUCCACACACUGUACACAGGAGCACCAUACCACCAGUCUCUGUAGAUAUAUAUAUAAAUAAAAGAGAGAGAGAGAGAGACAGAGAGACAGAGAGACAGAGAGACAGAGAGACAGAGAGACAGAGAGACAGAGAGAAAUGUGAUCAUAAGUGAAGGUGACUACCGACCGACGUUACAAUCAACAAAAGACGUCGUGUAGUGUACAUUACAGAAAAAGAUUGUGGGAGGAGAUGAGUAUUGGAUAGGGGUGAAUGUUUUGGUUUAGGCUAGAAAGAGUAAGGAGGGAUGACAAAAGAAGUCCGGAAGGAAUGCUACUCACUGGUGAAAGGUCCUGUGAAUCCACUAGGCCUUUUCCCAGCGAUGGGGUGUUGGUAUGUGUGCUGGUGGGUGGACGUUGAUGUAGCCACAUUGUAGACUUCUGGGAAGUGGAACACCAGCUUGGAGGAUGGAGGUGUGCAUCCUCCCCCUCUCUGGCCCUUCAGGGACCCCAGGGGCCUGAGUUCUGUGAAGGUGAUCUCCUCUGGGGAGGAGGGCUGGGAGAGGGUGGAGGAGGGGGACUGGGUCUGGUACCCACUGGACGGGCUGCCAGGGCUAGGGCUGCCGCUGCCUGAGGAGCGCGCAUACAGAAUAACACCUCCUGUUGGAAAAACAGAGACAGAGAGGUCGUGGGGUUAGUCAGAUAGCUGAAAAGAAGUUUACUCCAAAAAGGUCACCAAGUUCAGGAUGUGGUGCAGAAUGCAAUGUUUAAAGGCAUGCAAAAGCAUACAGUGGUUCUUCCUUUAAAAGUUGUGGUUAUGCCGCUACCGUUUGUGGUAAUGGUGGCAAAAGACAGCUCUCUGUAGGACUAAUAGGUACAAUUUCAUAAAUGCCAUCAGAUGAUUUGUUUGUCAUGGGGAUAUUUUUGUGUCUUUAAAAAAAAUGAUGCGAGAAAUAGCGGUGGAAAUUAUUUUAUGCGCAAAUAUAGAUAUAAUAAGCAUCAUAUGGAAGUAAACUCGGAGUCACGCGAUGACAUGGUGUGUGGUCCUUCCACUAUGACUCGUUGGGAAAGCAUGCAGUUAUUAGGCUACCAGAGGUUGAGGCUAAAGAUGAAAUAAGUUGUGAUGUACUUCACAGGGUGGUGAAAGUGCAAGCAGAUGAGCUUGAUGCUGUCACGCCCUGACCAUAGUUUGCUUUGUAUGUUUAGUUUGGUUAGGGUGUGAUCUGAGUGGGCAUUCUAUGUUGUAUGUCUAGUUUGUCUUUCUGUGUUUGGCCUGAUAUGGUUCUCAAUCAGAGGCAGGUGUUAGUCGUUGUCUCUGAUUGGGAACCAUAUUUAGGUAGCAUGUUUUGUCAUUGUGGGUUGUGGGUGAUUUUCUAUGUUGAUGUUGCAUGUCUGCACUCGUUUUCAUUAGUGUCAUGUUCGUUUGUUAUUUUGUAUAGUUUGUGUAGUUGGUUUAAGUGUUCUUUGUUUAUUAAAAGGAAGAUGUAUUCACAUCACUUUGGUCUCCUCACUUAGACGAUCGUGACAGAUGCGCCUUUCCAAUAAAUAACAAGGGUCUUAUUCUGGUGACUUGAUCAUCAAUGCUUGGCUACCGUUUUAUUUUUAUAUGUCAAUGUUGCUCUUUUGUCCAUAAUAAUCUCAUCAUGUAGGCCAAGGUUCCCCAAAUGGCAAGUUCUGAGCAAAUUUUGUUUUGCUUAUAUUAUUUAUUUUUGAAUUCUGUAAAAAAAGACUGUAAAAACACCAGGAAAUCCGCUCCAUGUGAUUUUUGUUUUGGAAAUCUUUUCCCAUGUUUUCCCAUGCAUAAUAGAGAAACGUAGAAACUAUUCACAACCCUUUUUCCCCCAAAAAAUUGUGUUACAGCCUGAUUUUAAAAUUGAUUAAAUUUUGAUUUUUUUUGUCACUGGCCUACAGACAAUACCCCAUAAUGUCAACGUGGGAAAAUGUUUUUUGAGAAAAAAAGUAAUUAAUAAUGAAUUCAAAGCUGAAAUGUCUUGAGUCAAUAAGUAUUCUACCCCUUUGUUAUGACAAGCCUAAAUAAGUUCAGGAGUAAAAAUGUGCUUAACAAGUCACAUAACAAGUUGCAUGGACUCACUGAGUGCAAUAAUAGGGUUUAACAUGUUUUUUGAAUGACUGCCUCAUCUCUGUACUCCUCAGUCGAGCAGUGAAUUUCAAUCACAGAUUCAAACACAAAGACCAGGGUGGUUUUCCAAUGCCUCACAAAGAAGGGCAGCUAUUGGUAGAUGGUUAAAAAUAUAUUUUUUAAAGCAGACAUUGAAUUUUCCUUUGAGCAUGGUGAAGUUAUUAAUUACACUUUGGAUGGUGUAUCAAUACACCCACUCACUACAAAGAUGGUGUCAUAACUCGGUUGCCGGAGAGGACGGAAACUGCACAGGGAUUUCACCAUGAGGCCAAUGAUGACUUUAAAACAGUUAGAGUUUAAUGGCUGCAAUUGGAGAAAACUGAGGAUGGACCAAAAACAGCGUAGUUACUCCACAAUACUGACCUAAAUGACAGAGUGAAAAGAAGGAAGCCUAUACAGAAUGCAAAUAUUCCAAAACAUGAAUCAUGUUUGCAUCAAGGCACUAAAAUGACAAAGCCGUUUGUAAGUUUCUAUUUCUAAGAGGCCGAAUUACAGUUUAGACUUAAAUCUGCUUGAAAAUUUAUGGCAAGACCUGAAAAUGGUCAACAACCAAUUUGACAGAGCUUUAAGAAUUUUGAAAAGAAUAAAUGGGCAAAUACUGCACAAUCCAGGUGUAGAAAGCUCUUAGAGAUUUACCCAGAAAGACUAAUCUCUGCUAAAUGUGCUUUUACAAAGCAUUGCCUCAGGGGUGUAAAUACUUAUAUAUUUUUGCUAAAAUUUCUAAAAACACAUGGUUCUACUUUAACAUUAUGGGGUAUUGUGUGUAGAUGAAUAAGAAAAAAGUCAAUUUCAUAAUUUUUUUAUUCAGGCUGUAACAACAAAAUGUGGAAUAAGUCAAGGGGUGUGAAUACUUUCUGAAGGCACUGUAUGUAUGUGAUCGUAUACAAAUGUAAGCAAGGGAUGAAAUUAUUGUUUUAGUCAAACAUUAAAUCUAUUUUGGCUUCUUUCUGUCAAUUUGCAAUCUAAAAUGUAUUUUGUAUUAUGUUCCGGCCCCACGACUAUCCGCUCAAGAAAUAAAUUGGCUGAAUCUAGUUGAUGUAUACGUGUGCUAUAUAACAAUAUUUAAAAAAUGUGAGAAAACCAUCAGUAAAAUUGCGAUUAAAAACCCAUUUAACUUGCAUUUGUUUUAGUCGGUACAUGGGAAUAUAAAUUAGAUGGAAACACAUUUCUGGUAGGAAAGUGUGCAUAUUGUUUAUGUGGAUUUUAGAAUAGUCACAUGAAUAUCUGUCGCCAAUUGAAUGGAAACCUAGCUAGACAUUUUUUUGCGCCAUGCAAAAAACUUCAGUAUUUAUAUAGGCAGUCAAUAUAAAUGACAGUAAAUAAAUCAACGUUGCUCUUUUUUUCUGUUUUUCAUUUUUUUUAAAUCCUCUCUGUUCGUCUGCCUUCGCAUCCUCUCUAAAAAUAUUUUGCAUCUCUGAGACACGGCCGCGCGGGCUAUGCGGUGCUUCCGCUCCCUCCUUGCCCAGCGCCCGCAAGCAGCACGACACCUGACCGCCGACUCACAUGGACUUCUGACAUGGUUACUGCCUGGACCAAAUCUGCAGUAUCGUGUAGACAUUUACAACAAUCACAAACCGGUUCUGUGAUUAAAAUAAAUAUACUGGGGGAGUCCCAGAGAUGCUGUGGCAGAGAACUGUACUCGUGCCGUCACCGACAAUAAGCUAUGAAGAAAGUGAGUCCAGGUUUCCCAUAGAGAGAGAACCACUCGAACGGGCUACCUAACUUUUUUUUUUUAAUAUUUCUUGGUGAGUUUGUGAGACAGGGCAGUGAUACAAAGAUAGCAGCCACCUACACAAGGUGUCAUGGUAAUAGUUAGCCUAUUGUAUGUAUACAUCGAAUAUAAACUACACUGAACAAAAAUAUAAAUUAACAUGUAAAGUUCUGGUCCCAUGUUUCAUGAGCUGAAAUAAAAGAUUCCAGAAAUG
This is a long non-coding RNA of Salvelinus fontinalis (brook trout), 7982 nucleotides long. RefSeq lists it as uncharacterized. The record is from RefSeq and is a predicted model, not a curated record. NCBI's taxonomy places the organism in Eukaryota, Metazoa, Chordata, Actinopteri, Salmoniformes, Salmonidae. The transcript has 2 exons.